This is a non-coding RNA of Gekko japonicus, 72 nucleotides long. The record is from the annotation of a RefSeq genome assembly. Lineage: Eukaryota; Metazoa; Chordata; Lepidosauria; Squamata; Gekkonidae.
GGGGCAGUGGCUCAAUGGCAGAGUGUCUGCUUCACAUGCAGAUGGUCCAAGGUUCAAUCCCUGGCCUCUCCA